CUUUUCUACUUUAUGGAAAUUUUAACUUUUUUAUUAUAAAGGUAUUCAGCUGGUAUCAUGGUGCAAAGGAGGUUGCUGCCUCCCCUGCUUUGACCUCACUGUCCUUUGCAACUCUUGCACUGUCUCAUCCCAUCUGAAUGUCUGCUUCUUGGAGGACUCGAAAUAACACAUUUGUCAGGCCUCUGAGCCAAAGCUCAGCCAUUGUAACCCCAGCGACCUGCACAUAUACGUCCAGAUGGCCCACAGGAGCCAAGAAGUCUGGAGUAGCCGAAAAACCACAAAGAAGUGAAACAGACAGUUCCUGCCUUAACUAAUUAACCCACCUUACGACAUUCUACCAUUAAGACUUGUUCCUGCCCCGCCCCAACUGAUCGAUCGACCCUGUGACAUUCUUCUGGACAAUGAGUCCCAUGAUCUCUCCACCAUGCACCUUGUGACCCCCCGCCUCCCCUGCUGACAACAGAUAACCACCUUUAACUGUAGCUUUCCACUGCCUACCCAGGCCCUAUAAAGCUGCCCCUGUCCUAUCUCCCUUCACUGACUCUCUUU
RNAcentral lists this long non-coding RNA (549 nucleotides) under Homo sapiens (human). RNAcentral's name for it is "non-protein coding lnc-SLC15A4-5:1". The record is from RNAcentral. Lineage: Eukaryota; Metazoa; Chordata; Mammalia; Primates; Hominidae.